Molecule: ribosomal RNA, 465 nt
Filed under: Vreelandella stevensii
Lineage: Bacteria; Pseudomonadati; Pseudomonadota; Gammaproteobacteria; Oceanospirillales; Halomonadaceae
Description: partial 16S ribosomal RNA
Rfam family: Bacterial small subunit ribosomal RNA
Source: RNAcentral
CCUACGGGUGGCAGCAGUGGGGAAUAUUGGACAAUGGGCGAAAGCCUGAUCCAGCCAUGCCGCGUGUGUGAAGAAGGCCUUCGGGUUGUAAAGCACUUUCAGUGGGGAAGAAAGCCUUGGGGCUAAUACCCUCGAGGAAGGACAUCACCCACAGAAGAAGCACCGGCUAACUCCGUGCCAGCAGCCGCGGUAAUACGGAGGGUGCGAGCGUUAAUCGGAAUUACUGGGCGUAAAGCGCGCGUAGGCGGUCUGAUAAGCCGGUUGUGAAAGCCCCGGGCUCAACCUGGGAACGGCAUCCGGAACUGUCAGGCUAGAGUGCAGGAGAGGAAGGUAGAAUUCCCGGUGUAGCGGUGAAAUGCGUAGAGAUCGGGAGGAAUACCAGUGGCGAAGGCGGGCUUCUGGACUGACACUGACGCUGAGGUGCGAAAGCGUGGGUAGCAAACAGGAUUAGAUACCCCGGUAGUC